Molecule: small nuclear RNA, 185 nt
Organism: Scatophagus argus
Lineage: Eukaryota; Metazoa; Chordata; Actinopteri; Scatophagidae
Product: U2 spliceosomal RNA
Exons: 1
Source: RefSeq, a predicted model, not a curated record
GUAACUGCUAAGGUUUGACUAAGAUCAAGUGUAGUAUCUGUUCUUAUGAGUUUAAUAUCUGAUACAUUCUCCAUAACUGGACAACAUAUUAAAUGGAGUUUUAACACUGGGAGCUGAAAAAGGGGCUUGCUCUGUUUGCUCCAUCGACCCGGUGCUGCAGAGCUGCCAGGAAGGGUGCACCUUUG